GGGGGUGUAGCUCAGCUGGGAGAGCACCUGCCUUGCAAGCAGGGGG
Molecule: transfer RNA, 46 nt
Filed under: Desulfovibrio sp. A2
Lineage: Bacteria; Pseudomonadati; Thermodesulfobacteriota; Desulfovibrionia; Desulfovibrionales; Desulfovibrionaceae
Description: partial tRNA-Ala
Rfam family: tRNA
About the family: Transfer RNA (tRNA) molecules are approximately 80 nucleotides in length.
Source: RNAcentral